RNAcentral lists this ribosomal RNA (265 nucleotides) under uncultured bacterium. RNAcentral's name for it is "partial 16S ribosomal RNA". It matches the Rfam family "Bacterial small subunit ribosomal RNA", at positions 15 to 275 of the family's 1533-position model. The record is from RNAcentral.
AAUCCUGGCUCAGGAUGAACGCUAGCGACAGGCUUAACACAUGCAAGUCGAGGGGCAGCGGGGAGUAGCAAUACUUCGCCGGCGACCGGCUCACGGGUGAGUAACACGUGUGCAACCAACCCCGUACCGGGAGAUAACCCGCGGAAACGUGGACUAACAUCCCAUAAGACUCUAGAGCCGCAUGGCUCUGGAUUUAAAAUUCCAGUGGUACGGGACGGGCACGCGCGACAUUAGGUAGUUGGCGGGGUAACGGCCCACCAAGCCG